Long non-coding RNA from Malus domestica (apple), 888 nucleotides. RefSeq lists it as uncharacterized. NCBI's taxonomy places the organism in Eukaryota, Viridiplantae, Streptophyta, Magnoliopsida, Rosales, Rosaceae. The record is from RefSeq and is a predicted model, not a curated record.
CAAGUCUAAUUGAAGCAAAAGAAAUGCAUCCCGCCACUAAUCACCGCGCCUUCUCUCUCUGUCUAUCUCUGAGUUGCCAUAGCAUCGACCACCCAAGAAAACCGUACGUCUCCAGGUGCCUCACUCCGCAUUCAAAUGUGAAGCAUUACUACGGUUUCAUUUCAGCAGGGCGUCUUUGGAGUGUUGCAAUUUUCAAAAAAGCCCGUCGCCGAUUGAUUCAAUCCGUAGCAGAUUUUGGCGCGAAGAAGCUCCAUUGAUCCCGAAUACACAAAUGUGUUGGAGCAAUGAAUAGGGCACCUCAUAUGAGGCAAGAUCGUCCCAAUCUGGGUCAAGAUUUAUGUGCCCAGACGCCUGUUAAAGCUAAUUUGUUGGAGCAUGUCAAUGCACUUGAUAAUUUCUCGUGCCCGCAUAGUGUUCUGAGUUCAAAUUUUAUUUUUUCCUCACCAACACAAAAACCUCUGGCCGAAGAGGCAAUGGUUUCCGGAUUGCAAGAGAAUUCGAGAAGUUUGGCAAUCCAAGAGCGUCCCCUGCACAAAUAGAAAUGGAUGCGAUCUUGGACCCGCCGACGAGAUGAGCAGGUGAUGUUAUUGCUUUCGACAUCUCCUUCUUUUUGUAUCUUUUUUAAAAAUGUUAUUCUUUAGGCUGCUUCAGAGUAUCUCUCUUCUAGUUGCCUCAUUGUUCAUUGUUUGCUAUCCGAAGGAUAGGAUUUGUAACUUUGUAGUGCUAGCCUUAUAUUUUGUGUUCAUCUUUUGUUUUAUUGUACCUUAAGAUUCAUUCGGUGUAAUUAGAUUUGUUUAAAGAGAAGAAUUAGACAAUCGAUACAAUACAUGAAUUUUACCACAUAAGUUUGGAUUGUGUUCAGAUUGAAUCCUUCAUACCAACUUGAAG